Molecule: long non-coding RNA, 214 nt
Filed under: Elaeis guineensis (African oil palm)
Lineage: Eukaryota; Viridiplantae; Streptophyta; Magnoliopsida; Arecales; Arecaceae
Description: long non-coding RNA (EGUI_LNC042967)
Source: RNAcentral
AAUAUCUAUAUUAUCUCCCAAACCCAUAGUAUUAGCAAAGGCUUCCUCCUCUUUCUUUAUUUGUUCAUAAGCAUCAACUGGAUCCUCUACACCCUCACAAGUUGCUCUAUCCUUACCAAAUGCAAUUGACAAGUCAUCAUGUUGGGGGGAAAUUUGUCACUUAGGCUAAAGACAUGGAUUAGUAGAAGGACAGAUGAUAUGAUAGAAAAGGUCG